CGAAACUGUGGAUGAACCUCUUUAGAGGUUCGUGGUAGGAGAGCGUUCUAAGGGCGGUGAAGUCAGACCGGAAGGACUGGUGGAGCGCUUAGAAGUGAGAAUGCCGGUAUGAGUAGCGAAAGAAGGGUGAGAAUCCCUUCCACCGAAUAUCUAAGGUUUCCUGAGGAAGGCUCGUCCGCUCAGGGUUAGUCGGGACCUAAGCCGAGGCCGAUAGGCGUAGGCGAUGGACAACAGGUAGAGAUUCCUGUACCAGUGCUAAUUGUUUAACCGAUGGGGUGACACAGAAGGAUAGGGAAUCGCACGAAUGGAAAUGUGCGUCCAAGCAGUGAGUGUGAGAAGUAGGCAAAUCCGCUUCUCGCGAAGCAUGAGCUGUGAUGGGGAAGGAAAUUAAGUACGGAAGUUCCUGAUUUCACGCUGUCAAGAAAAGCCUCUAGGAAGAGUAGUACUGCCCGUACCGCAAACCGACACAGGUAGAUGAGGAGAGAAU
Molecule: ribosomal RNA, 487 nt
Filed under: Listeria monocytogenes
Lineage: Bacteria; Bacillati; Bacillota; Bacilli; Caryophanales; Listeriaceae
Description: bacterial LSU rRNA
Rfam family: Bacterial large subunit ribosomal RNA
Source: RNAcentral